GCAGGGGUGGCAGAGUCUGGUUUGGCAUAAGCCACGGAAAAAUGCGCAGGACUUAAGAUCCUGUGGCCUAGCGCCUUCGUGAGUUCGAAUCUCACCCCCUGCA
This 103-nucleotide transfer RNA is filed under the name Candidatus Micrarchaeum sp. RNAcentral describes it as "tRNA-Leu". It matches the Rfam family "tRNA". From Rfam's summary of the family: Transfer RNA (tRNA) molecules are approximately 80 nucleotides in length. Their secondary structure includes four short double-helical elements and three loops (D, anti-codon, and T loops). The record is from RNAcentral. Lineage: Archaea; Nanobdellati; Microcaldota; Candidatus Micrarchaeia; Candidatus Micrarchaeales; Candidatus Micrarchaeaceae.